UUAACAGCCCUAGAGACUGAAGCCUUCUAUUUAUCCACAGAACAGGUACAACACAGUCAGCAGCAGUGCAAGCUUCCCCACAGCAAAGUAUCAUCCAAAUGUCUCAGCCCUGUUCUGGAGGAUCCACCUGUUGAGGUGAGAAGGUAGUUCAGUCUCUUUCUAUCCAGGCAUGAUUUGGCUUUU
Unclassified non-coding RNA from Pogona vitticeps (central bearded dragon), 183 nucleotides. The record is from Ensembl. Lineage: Eukaryota; Metazoa; Chordata; Lepidosauria; Squamata; Agamidae.